Molecule: ribosomal RNA, 275 nt
Filed under: uncultured bacterium
Lineage: Bacteria
Description: partial 16S ribosomal RNA
Rfam family: Bacterial small subunit ribosomal RNA
Source: RNAcentral
GCGUGAGUGAAGAAGGCCUUAGGGUUGUAAAACUCUUUCACCCGUGAAGAUGAUGACGGUAGCGGGAGAAGAAGCUCCGGCUAACUCCGUGCCAGCAGCCGCGGUAAUACGGAGGGGGCUAGCGUUGCUCGGAAUUACUGGGCGUAAAGCGCACGUAGGCGGUGCACCUAGUCAGGCGUGAAAGCCCCGGGCUUAACCCGGGAACUGCGCUUGAUACUGGUGCGCUAGAAUCCGAGAGAGGGUAGUGGAAUUCCCAGUGUAGAGGUGAAAUUCGU